Molecule: small nuclear RNA, 312 nt
Filed under: Chinchilla lanigera (long-tailed chinchilla)
Lineage: Eukaryota; Metazoa; Chordata; Mammalia; Rodentia; Chinchillidae
Description: 7SK RNA (ENSCLAG00000022096.1)
Rfam family: 7SK RNA
About the family: 7SK was discovered as an abundant small nuclear RNA in the mid-70s but a possible function has only recently been suggested. Two independent studies have found that 7SK RNA binds the CDK9/cyclin T complex (known as elongation factor P-TEFb). P-TEFb activates transcription by phosphorylating the C-terminal domain of RNA polymerase II.
Source: Rfam by way of RNAcentral
GGAGGUGAGGGGAAUCUGGCUACUACAUCUGUUGCCCCAUGAAUCGCCAGGGUUCAUUCUUCUGAUCUGGCUGGCUAGGCAAAUGUCCCUUCCUCCCUCACUGCUCCGUGUGUGUCGCUCCUGAAGCUUCAUGCUCAGUCGAAGAGGACGACCACUCCUGAGAGAAGGACUGUUUUCUCAGUCAAGGAUAUACGAGUAGCUGCAUUCCCCAGCUAGAACCUCCAAACAAGCUCCCAAAAAGGAGGUGAAAUCAGCAUCUAUGAUUGUAAAAACACUUUAGCAAUACUGAUAAAUGUGUUGAAGUGAAUAUUG